GACCGUGUAGCUCAGUUGGCAGAGCGUUGGGUCGUAGGUUCAAUUCGGUUCGAUUCCCACCAUGGCCA
Molecule: non-coding RNA, 68 nt
Organism: Paramuricea clavata
Lineage: Eukaryota; Metazoa; Cnidaria; Anthozoa; Malacalcyonacea; Plexauridae
Source: the annotation of a GenBank genome assembly